UUUUUUUUCUUACAAAAGUACUCAAAUUUUCUUUAGCUCCGGCCCCAGGCCUUCUCGACUGGAAGCCCAACAGGGGACGAGACACAAACACCUCAAAAUGCGUCCCUCCGGCUAAUUCCAGGUUCCGUGGGCAGCCCGGGUGGCUCAGCGGUUUAGCGCCACCUUCCGCCCGGGGCGUGAUCCUGGGGACCUGGGAUCGAGUCCCACGUCAGGCUCCCUGCAUGGAGCCUGCUUCUCCCUCCGCCUGUGUCUCUGCCUCUCUCUCUCUCUCUCUCUCUCUCAUGAAAAAAUAAAUAAAAUCUUUUAGGGAUCCCUGGGUGGCGCAGCGGUUUAGCGCCCGCCUUUGGCCCAGGGCGCGAUCCUGGAGACCCGGGAUCGAAUCCCACAUCGGGCUCCCGGUGCAUGGAGCCUGCUUCUCCCUCUGCCUGUGUCUCUGCCUCUCUCUCUCUCUCUCUCUGUGAGACUAUCAUAAAUAAAUAAAAAUAAUAAAAAAUCUUUUAAAAAAUAUUAUUUCCAAGUUCCGUGGCACAGUGGUUUUCCAAAUGGUUUAAGCAUCACCUGGAGAGGGAGUUUAAAAAAAAAAAAAAAAAAAGGCAGAUUCCUGGUCUCCCACCCCCCGGGGGUUUCUAAUUGAAGGGAAUGCAAAUGUUCCUUUUAGGAGCACUCGGGGGUGGCUAGCUGGAGAUCUGAAGAUAUAACCUGUCCCCCAAGGAGAUCACAAUCUACUCGCAGUCUAAUGUCAUGAAUCAGGGGGCAGCAGGGCGCUGUGGAAGUGAGAGAAGGGGAACCUAGUCCAGCCUGGGCUGGAGGCCCAGGGAGGCUGAGGGGAAUGGUGGUGAGGGGGAGCUAGUUGCGGGGUGGGCCAGGGCAGGGCCUGCGGAGGACAGGCGGGGAGGGCCACCUUGAGUAGGUCUUACUGCUUAUGCUUCAGAUGCAAGCCCAAGGGCGGGGCCAUCUGGGUGGCCCAGUUGGGUAAUUGUCUACCUUCAGCUCAGGUCAUGAUCUCAGGUUCCUGGGAUGGAGCCCCACAUCCGGUUUCCAGAGUCUGCUUCUGCUUCUCCCUCUGCCCCUCCCCUUGCUCCUGCUUGUUCUCUCUCUCAAAUGAAUACAUAAAAAUCUUCAAAAAAAAAAAAAAAAAAAGAUAGAAGCCAGAGGGUAUAGCUGACUAUACUGUGACCCCUAUUAGAACAAAUCACUAACCUUCUAUUUCUUUCCCUAGGAACAAGCCUUUAUUUUCCAUUAUUUAUCAUUUCUUCUCCCUGCCUGUAAUACCUUGGCCAACUCCCUACCUUCCUUUGGCAGAAAAAAACAAAAAACUUUGUGCAGGACUACAUUUGAAAGGAAAAAAAUGAACGUGCUGACAGGUGUCAAUUAUAUUGGAGAUUUACAAGGUGCCAAGCACCCGUCUGUUGACUCUAAAGUGCUGUACAAAGGUGAGUUAUUAUUCCAACAGCAAUAUCGUCAUGAUGAAGCAGGAGGCGUCCAUUCACUCAGUUUACACUGAUCAUGUGCACACGCAUGCCAGCUCUAUGCUAGGUGCUGUGGGUAGAAAGAGGAGGAAGACCUACCCUCUUCUUUAAAAGAAUAACUUCUUUUUCUUCUUGCUCUUUAUUUCCUUAAACUUCUCUUUUCAAUGAGAUUUAAAGUACACUCACAAAUCUUCUGUUGUUCCAAAUCCCCAAGCCCUGUGUGGCCUGGUGCCCACUCUGCUCUGAAAGAUGCUUCCUGUGGGACAGCUUAAAAUGGUUCCUUGGAGACGCUGCAAUGCUCUUGACAACUCAAAGGUAUUGCUUUCAUCCAGCCUUUUAGGAACAAGCAAUGGCACCAGGGAGGUCCAGGAGUGAUGUGCCAAAUAUUUAACCACCAGCUCCAACUGGGUCCCAGAGGCCUCCAGCUGCGCCAGGGGUUAACCCUUCAGAUGCUGGAUCAUGGGGCACAGAGGAAGAGGGAACCAGACCCAUGAAGGAUUACUAGGCGCUCUGAGCAGCAGCCAUGAAGCACCCGAUCCAGAAGUCUCUCAGCAUUCAGGAGCAGGUAUGGCUAAUGCCAGUGAGUAUCAGUCGAAUUUCAGUCCUCGGAAGGCCCAUAUAUGUAAUGCAUAUUCUUCAUGAAGGAAGAAGAUGGGGGGAUCCCCGGGUGGUGCAGCGGUUUGGCCCAGGACGCGAUCCUGGAGACCCAGGAUCGAAUCCCACAUCAGGCUCCCGGUGCAUGGAGCCUGCUUCUCCCUCUGCCUGUGUCUCUGCUUCUCUCUCUCUCUCUGUGACUAUCAUAAAUAAAAUAAAAAUAAAAAUUAAAAAAUUUAAAAAUUUAAAAAAAAAAAAAGGAAGAAGAUGGCCUCUUUUUUUUAUUCUCAAUGGUCAAAUAGUGCAGAUCACAACAAUAUGAUGAAUUUCUCCACUGGCAAGGGAGACCAGCCUUAUAGAAGUUCUGUGAGAGGAAAAAUAUAAAUCUUGACCUCUUGUCUCUUGAUUAGAAUAAAAAAAUAAGGGACACCUGGGUGGCUCAGCGGUUGAGCAUCUGCCUUUGGCUCAGGGCGUGAUCUCAGUCUUGGGAUGGAGUCCCACGUUGGGCUCCCUGCAUGGAGCCUGCUUCUCCCACUGCCUGGGUUUCUGCCUGCCUCUCUCUCUGUGUCUCUCAUGAAUGAAUAGAUAAAAUCUUUAAAAAAAAAAAAAAAGAAUCAAAAUAAUAACGGAUAGCUUACUGUUUUCACUUAAAGGCCAUGUGCCUGUUUCUGAACUGUUUUUGACAGCUACGUAAUAAAAAAAAGAUAACCUUUUACUGUUGGUUUUUUCAUGGUUAGCUGGGGGAUUGGAAUUAGCUGAUGAAAAGAGAAGUAGCAAAGAGAACUCAAUUUGAGAAGGCAGGAAGGCAGAGAGGUGAUGCUGUUGUUUCUAGCAAAUCCCCUGCCCUAGAAGUUUCCUCUUUGGAAGCAGGGACAUGAACAGGGUGAAGGCGGAAGCAGGCAUCUGGUUUGGGGAAAUUAGAAGAAUGAAGCAUCUGGACAUGAUGCUAAGAGAAAUAUCGAGUAGGUGGAUAGUAAUCAAGAGGUGGGGUGGGAAAUUACAGAGACCCCAGGCUAGGAGAUAUUUGCAAACGGAAUUGUCAAGGGGAAGAUGGGAUGAUGCGGCACCAACAUCUGUCAAGAAUAAGAGGCAGGAGGGGCACCUGGCGGACUCAGAUGGUUAAGUGUCUGCCUUUGACUUAGGUCAUGAUCUCCAGGUCUUGGGAUCGAGCCCCAGAGCCCCAUGUUGGGCUCCUCCCUCAGUGGGGAGUCUUCUUCUUCCUCUCUCCCUACUUGUGCUCCAUCUCUCUCAAAUAAACUUAAAAAAAAAAAAUCUUGGGCAGCCCCAGUGGCUUAGGGGUUUAGCACCUCUGUCAGCCUGGGGUGUGAUCCUGGGGACCUGGGAUCGAGUCCCGCAUCGGGCUCCCUGCAUGGAGCCUGCUUCUCCCUCUGCCUGUGUCUCUGCCUCUCUCUGUAUCUCUCAUGAAUAAAUAAAUAAAAUCUUAAAAAAAAUAAAUCUAAAAAAUUUUAAAAAAUUUUUAAAAAGAAUAAGAGGUAGGAGGAAAAAAAGGAUUUGGAGGAGUUGAGGACCAACUUCCACUUUCAGCACAGAAAUAAUUUUUUCCAUAUAUUUAAAAAUUUUCAGACUUUUUAAAAAAGAGAACCCUAGGUCAGGAAUAUUAUACAGGGGAAAAAAGGAAUAUUAUACAGGAACAGUAUAUUAACUUUGUUGAGUGCUUAUGACAUGCCAGGGACUGUUUGCAAUACUCCAAGCUCUUAACUCCUUGAAUCCUCACAACCCUGACACGGUGUAAGUUAUCCCCAUUUUACAGAUAAGGAAAUGCAGUUGGAGAGAGCGCUCCCGACUUAAAGCGGUAGGGCGCGGAUUUGAAGCAGGUGGUCUCUACAGCUGACACUCGUCACCAACAACCCAAAAUAACAACAGAGAGAUUGAGGGCGGCCUGCAGGCCAGAAGAUAGUCACAGCAGCCCCCACGUACUGGGUGGUGAGCAUUCAUACCAGAAGCUUUACAUAAGCUCUCAAAGCUUGACAAAGCUCUCAUGUUCAGUAUAUAACCCCAGGAAGUAGGUAUCACAAUCCCUUCCCAAUUUUAAGUUCCUGGAACCCAAAAUAUGAGCACAUACACACACACACCUCUAUGUACCUUUCUGGCAAGGCUGAUAACUAUGGUUCUGGCUGUAGUAAACAUAAAUCAUUCCUACUGGGAUAAUUAGGGGAAAAAAAGGAAUGAAAGGCUGGGAAGAAAAGGAAAAGCAGGGGCAGCCCCGGGGCGCUCAGUGGUUCAGCGCUACCUUUGGCCCAGGGCCUGAUCCUGGAGAUCCAGGAUCGAGUCCCAUGUCGGGUUCCCGGCAUGGAGCCUGCUUCUCCCUCUGCCUCUAUGUCUCUCAUAAAUAAAUAAAAUCUUAAAAAAAAAAAAAAAAAAAA
This 4447-nucleotide long non-coding RNA is filed under the name Canis lupus familiaris (dog). RNAcentral's name for it is "lncRNA (ENSCAFG00000058412.1)". Lineage: Eukaryota; Metazoa; Chordata; Mammalia; Carnivora; Canidae. The record is from RNAcentral.